Molecule: microRNA, 24 nt
Filed under: Ananas comosus (pineapple)
Lineage: Eukaryota; Viridiplantae; Streptophyta; Magnoliopsida; Poales; Bromeliaceae
Description: microRNA s0951_c122a
Source: RNAcentral
ACAAAAUUAAUAAAUGCAUAUAUU